GAUGAACGCUGGCGGCGUGCCUAAUACAUGCAAGUCGAGCGAACAGAUGAGGAGCUUGCUCCUCUGACGUUAGCGGCGGACGGGUGAGUAACACGUGGAUAACCUACCUAUAAGACUGGGAUAACUUCGGGAAACCGGAGCUAAUACCGGAUAAUAUAUUGAACCGCAUGGUUCAAUAGUGGAAGACGGUUUUGCUGUCACUUAUAGAUGGAUCCGCGCCGCAUUAGCUAGUUGGUAAGGUAACGGCUUACCAAGGCAACGAUGCGUAGCCGACCUGAGAGGGUGAUCGGCCACACUGGAACUGAGACACGGUCCAGACUCCUACGGGAGGCAGCAGUAGGGAAUCUUCCGCAAAGGGCGAAAGCCUGACGGAGCAACGCCGCGUGAGUGAUGAAGGUCUUCGGAUCGUAAAACUCUGUUAUUAGGGAAGAACAAAUGUGUAAGUAACUAUGCACGUCUUGACGGUACCUAAUCAGAAAGCCACGGCUAACUACGUG
This 497-nucleotide ribosomal RNA is filed under the name uncultured bacterium. RNAcentral describes it as "partial 16S ribosomal RNA". It matches the Rfam family "Bacterial small subunit ribosomal RNA", at positions 28 to 507 of the family's 1533-position model. The record is from RNAcentral.